Molecule: ribosomal RNA, 901 nt
Filed under: Salmonella enterica subsp. enterica
Lineage: Bacteria; Pseudomonadati; Pseudomonadota; Gammaproteobacteria; Enterobacterales; Enterobacteriaceae
Description: partial 23S ribosomal RNA
Rfam family: Bacterial large subunit ribosomal RNA
Source: RNAcentral
AAAAUUAGCGGAUGACCUGUGGCUGGGGGUGAAAGGCCAAUCAAACCGGGAGAUAGCUGGUUCUCCCCGAAAGCUAUUUAGGUAGCGCCUCGUGAAUUCAUCUCCGGGGGUAGAGCACUGUUUCGGCUAGGGGGCCAUCCCGGCUUACCAACCCGAUGCAAACUGCGAAUACCGGAGAAUGUUAUCACGGGAGACACACGGCGGGUGCUAACGUCCGUCGUGAAGAGGGAAACAACCCAGACCGCCAGCUAAGGUCCCAAAGUCAUGGUUAAGUGGGAAACGAUGUGGGAAGGCCCAGACAGCCAGGAUGUUGGCUUAGAAGCAGCCAUCAUUUAAAGAAAGCGUAAUAGCUCACUGGUCGAGUCGGCCUGCGCGGAAGAUGUAACGGGGCUAAACCAUGCACCGAAGCUGCGGCAGCGACGCUGAUGCGUUGUUGGGUAGGGGAGCGUUCUGUAAGCCUGUGAAGGUGGCCUGUGAGGGUUGCUGGAGGUAUCAGAAGUGCGAAUGCUGACAUAAGUAACGAUAAAGCGGGUGAAAAGCCCGCUCGCCGGAAGACCAAGGGUUCCUGUCCAACGUUAAUCGGGGCAGGGUGAGUCGACCCCUAAGGCGAGGCCGAAAGGCGUAGUCGAUGGGAAACAGGUUAAUAUUCCUGUACUUGGUGUUACUGCGAAGGGGGGACGGAGAAGGCUAUGUUGGCCGGGCGACGGUUGUCCCGGUUUAAGCGUGUAGGCUGGUUUUCCAGGCAAAUCCGGAAAAUCAAGGCUGAGGCGUGACGACGAGGCACUACGGUGCUGAAGCAACAAAUGCCCUGCUUCCAGGAAAAGCCUCUAAGCAUCAGGUAACAUCAAAUCGUACCCCAAACCGACACAGGUGGUCAGGUAGAGAAUACCAAGGCGCUUGA